CGCGUAGGCGGGAUGGCAAGUCGGUCGUGAAAUCCCUCGGCUCAACUGAGGAACGUCGAUCGAAACUGCCGUUCUUGAGGGUUGCAGAGGAGACUGGAAUUCCCGGUGUAGCGGUGAAAUGUGUAGAGAUCGGGAGGAACACCGGUGGCGAAGGCGGGUCUCUGGGCAAUUCCUGACGCUGAGGCGCGAAAGCGUGGGGAGCAAACGGGAUUAGAUACCCCGGUAGUCCACGCUGUAAACGAUGACGACUAGGUGUGGGGGGGGUUCAGUCCCUUCCGUGCCGCAGCUAACGCAUUAAGUCGUCCGCCUGGGGAGUACGGCCGCAAGGUUGAA
Molecule: ribosomal RNA, 333 nt
Filed under: uncultured bacterium
Lineage: Bacteria
Description: bacterial SSU rRNA
Rfam family: Bacterial small subunit ribosomal RNA
Source: RNAcentral